RNAcentral lists this ribosomal RNA (253 nucleotides) under uncultured bacterium. RNAcentral describes it as "partial 16S ribosomal RNA". It matches the Rfam family "Bacterial small subunit ribosomal RNA", at positions 524 to 776 of the family's 1533-position model. The record is from RNAcentral.
UACAGAGGGUGCAAGCGUUAAUCGGAAUGACUGGGCGUAAAGGGCGCGUAGGUGGAUAGUUAAGUGUUUUGUGAAAGGCCUGGGCUUAACCUAGGAACUGCAGAGCAUACUGACUAUCUAGAGUUUGGUAGAGGUAAGUGGAAUUUCCGGUGUAGCGGUGAAAUGCGUAGAUAUCGGAAGGAACACCAGUGGCGAAGGCGACUUACUGGACCAAAACUGACACUGAGGCGCGAAAGCGUGGGUAGCAAACAGG